GGAGGGAAAUGACGAGGGUACGGUGAGCAGGUGGCAAAGAGGAGAAAGCGCAGCACGGAGCUAUCAGCUCAACGUAAAGAAAUAAGAAAUAAUUUGGUGCCAAGGACAAGAGCAUUGAUAAUACAACUAGAUAUUGCUUGCGUUGCGUCACAUGACUUCUUCCCGGAAGUGAAAAACAUUGGUGGUCAACCAAGCCAGGAUUUUUGUUGAACAGCAAGCGACGCGUGAAUUCUGAGUACACAAGCGGCCUAGAUCCGUGGUUCUCAAAUGGGGGUGCGUGUACCCCUGGGGGUACUUGUAAGUAUGCCAAGGGGUGCAUGUCUUUGGAAGUGGGAGGAAGCCGAAUUCCCCGGAAGGAACCCACACAUUCACGGGGAGGACAUGCAAACUCCACACAGAAAGCCCGGAAUUGAACCCCGGACUACUCAGGACCUUCGUAAUGUGUGGCAGACGCACUAACCCCUCUGCCACCGUGAAGCCAUAAGAAGUACCCGACACUUGUAAAUGCAUUUGUACAGCAUGAAUUUUACCCCGACUUAAACAAGUUGAAAAACUUAUUGGGGUGUUACCAUUUAGUGGUCAAUUGUACGGAAUAUGUACUGUAUUGUGCGACCUACUAAUAAAAGUAUCAAUCAAUCAAUCAAUCAAAGCAGAUGAA
Long non-coding RNA from Nerophis ophidion (straightnose pipefish), 658 nucleotides. RefSeq lists it as uncharacterized. The record is from RefSeq and is a predicted model, not a curated record. The transcript has 2 exons. Lineage: Eukaryota; Metazoa; Chordata; Actinopteri; Syngnathiformes; Syngnathidae.